AUUGAACGCUGGCGGCAUGCCUUACACAUGCAAGUCGAACGGCAGCACGGGGGCAACCCUGGUGGCGAGUGGCGAACGGGUGAGUAAUACAUCGGAACGUGCCCCGUAGCGGGGGACAACCAGUCGAAAGACUGGCUAAUACCGCAUACGCUCCACGGAGGAAAGCAGGGGAUCGCAAGACCUUGCACUAUGGGAGCGGCCGAUGCCCGAUUAGCUAGUUGGUGAGGUAAAGGCUCACCAAGGCAACGAUCGGUAGCUGGUCUGAGAGGACGACCAGCCACACUGGGACUGAGACACGGCCCAGACCCCUACGGGAGGCAGCAGUGGGGAAUUUUGGACAAUGGGCGCAAGCCUGAUCCAGCCAUGCCGCGUGCGGGAAGAAGGCCU
RNAcentral lists this ribosomal RNA (387 nucleotides) under uncultured bacterium. Its description in RNAcentral is "bacterial SSU rRNA". It matches the Rfam family "Bacterial small subunit ribosomal RNA", at positions 29 to 417 of the family's 1533-position model. The record is from RNAcentral.